UGCUACCUACGGGGCGCAGCAGUGAGGAAUAUUGGUCAAUGGGCGGAAGCCUGAACCAGCCAAGUCGCGUGAGGGAAUAAGGCCCUACGGGUCGUAAACCUCUUUUGCCGGGGAGCAAGGGCGGGGACGUGUCGGCGGAAGGAGAGUACCCGUAGAACAAGCAUCGGCUAACUCCGUGCCAGCAGCCGCGGUAAUACGGAGGAUGCGAGCGUUAUCCGGAUUUAUUGGGUUUAAAGGGUGCGCAGGCGGCACGGCAAGCCGGCGGUCAAAUCGCGGGGCUCAACCCCG
RNAcentral lists this ribosomal RNA (288 nucleotides) under uncultured bacterium. Its description in RNAcentral is "partial 16S ribosomal RNA". It matches the Rfam family "Bacterial small subunit ribosomal RNA", at positions 333 to 617 of the family's 1533-position model. The record is from RNAcentral.